UUGUACACACCGCCCGUCACACCAUGGGAGUGGGCUGCACCAGAAGUAGAUAGCUUAACCUUCGGGAGGGCGUUUACCACGGUGUGGUUCAUGACUGGGGUGAAGUCGUAACAAGGUAGCCCUAGGGG
This 128-nucleotide ribosomal RNA is filed under the name Salinivibrio sp. AR640. RNAcentral describes it as "partial 16S ribosomal RNA". It matches the Rfam family "Bacterial small subunit ribosomal RNA", at positions 1381 to 1508 of the family's 1533-position model. Lineage: Bacteria; Pseudomonadati; Pseudomonadota; Gammaproteobacteria; Vibrionales; Vibrionaceae. The record is from RNAcentral.